UAACUUCAGAAAUUCUGCUAGUUGUGGGGUUCUAAAAGAGAACAAAGUUGAUGUGAUUGUUUUUAUAAAUUGGAAAAGUACUUUUAAAAAUAUAAUGUUGAAGUCCUGAGAGAUGAGUGGCAGGUUUCCUGGUUUCUCUUUGAAUGUCUAAUUCCACAAAGUAUUGAAAAUUGCAAUGAAAAGGAGAGUUUAGAAAACAGCUAGUUCUUUCAGACCUCUGGGACCUUGCACAGUGUCUCUGGCAGAGAAACCAAGAAGUAUAUAAUUUUAAGUAGAAUUUAAAUUCUAAUAAUCUUGACACAAUUUUAAAAAUGGAGUGAAUAUAAUUUGCACUUUAAAAAUAUAAAAUGGGGCAGAUGACCUGCUAACAUGUUUUAUAUACACUGUGAUUUGAACAGAUAGUUUCUAGUGGAAAUGAACAGAGGUAAUUUUCUAUUAUGUCCUCCUCAUAACUGCAUCUCCACCAUUUCUGAGACUAAUCAAAUGUGAUUAUAGUUGCACUAACACAUUAUUUUGAACAAACUGCUCUGUUAGCAAAUUAAAUAGCUAAUUUCUUAUUUGAGACUUGCUUUUAGACACCUAGUUUGUUUUACUACAGUUUGCAUAUGUUUUGUGAAAUUGAGCUGGAUUUCAUUAGGCAAUAGAAGACAUUUACUAUUGACAAAUCAUCUUUAUUGAUUAUUUUGAGUUAUUUUCAUUCUUUUAAGUCUUCCAAAUGAUAAAUUGAACAGCUAAAUAACCAUACUGCUGCUGAUAUGCCUUCAUAAAUCAUUUUCAUCAGCAGCUGAGUGUCCAAAUUCUAAUGAUAAAUUGCCCCUUUGUCUCUGGGGAGUUUGGUUAGAGACUUGUCCAGUGGUCCUGACCAUGCCCUUUCCAUAGUAUAGUGACAUACUUAAGAGCAGUAGUUGUCUUGGGACUCCAUUGUAGUGGGAUCUUGGUUUGGUAGUCUCGGAGGCAGCAUAAUCUUGGUAAGAGUUCUGACCUUGAAUUGAACCUUCAGGGAAUGUGCCAUUGUGCUUACAUGGAGACCUGUGCUCCCAAAGUGAGGUAAUGAGGAUAGUCAGCUGUUAGCAUUUGUUUCUGAUGGUGUUGCAAGUUUACUGUGUGGACUCUGCCAUGCUAUUCCUCUGUAACCAGCAAGGUGUCACGUGAACUGUUAAAGAAAUAAGCCUAUGAGCAUUGGCCUCGGAGAUUUUGUUGCUCUGUCUAGAAAACCCUAUAUUGUGAGAUGGGCUUUCAAAUGCUGCUGACCUGAAGCCUGCCAGCUCUCACCUGAACUACUGAGUAGGAAAUACCUUCAUUAUGUGAUUUGCUGAGCUCGGAUACAUUCAGAAAUGCCAUUUUCCUUACUUUGUCCUGCUCUUUGAAGCCAGCAAGACGUUGUUUUGAAUUCUCAAGAACAAGGAUUUAAAUCAGCUGUGGUCUUAACUGCACAUUAGACAACAUAUUUAAUUUGCAGCUACCAAGAAGUCCUACAGUCUUCACGGCAUGUUGUGGGAGGCAGCCCUGUGAACCUGGGCAAAAGAUGAGUGUGUUCUGUCUUUCUGUACCAAAGAAUCUGCAAGAGUAUAGGCAUGUACAUUACAUACAGGCCCUGAUCUGUGCAGAGGUUUAUGCUAAUUCUUAAUUUUAUGCAGUAUCCAGGUCCACAGAUUCUUCUUGCAGGCAGAACCAGAUCAGUCAGUCAUCAUGGGACCUGGAGUUAAGCUCUGCACCAGAAGUGCCUAUUUCCUAUUCUCUUCUGCAUCCAGAUCCACAGAUCCCACAGUGUGA
This is a long non-coding RNA of Dermochelys coriacea (leatherback sea turtle), 1773 nucleotides long. RefSeq lists it as uncharacterized. The transcript is spliced from 8 exons. The record is from RefSeq and is a predicted model, not a curated record. NCBI's taxonomy places the organism in Eukaryota, Metazoa, Chordata, Testudines, Dermochelyidae.